UCGGGAAUAUUGCGCAAUGGAGGAAACUCUGACGCAGUGACGCCGCGUAUAGGAAGAAGGUUUUCGGAUUGUAAACUAUUGUCAUCAGGGAAGAUAAAAGACAGUACCUGAGGAGGAAGCUCCGGCUAACUAUGUGCCAGCAGCCGCGGUAAUACAUAGGGAGCAAGCGUUAUCCGGAUUUAUUGGGUGUAAAGGGUGCGUAGACGGGAAAGCAAGUUAGUUGUGAAAUCCCUCGGCUUAACUGAGGAACUGCAACUAAAACUGUUUUUCUUGAGUGUCGGAGAGGAAAGUGGAAUUCCUAGU
RNAcentral lists this ribosomal RNA (303 nucleotides) under uncultured bacterium. RNAcentral's name for it is "bacterial SSU rRNA". It matches the Rfam family "Bacterial small subunit ribosomal RNA", at positions 355 to 674 of the family's 1533-position model. The record is from RNAcentral.